RNAcentral lists this long non-coding RNA (335 nucleotides) under Mytilus galloprovincialis (Mediterranean mussel). The record is from RNAcentral. Lineage: Eukaryota; Metazoa; Mollusca; Bivalvia; Mytilida; Mytilidae.
AUGCAUUGAUGUACUGUGAAUUGAUUUAUUUUCGUUGGUAUCAAUUUUCGUGGAUUAAGGAAUACGUGGAUAUUCAAUUUCGCGGUUUUGCCGAAGUCUGCAUACAGGCUUAUAGAGAAUUUGUUAUUCGUUGAACAUUUAAUUUCGUGGUUCACUUGUACCCACGAAAAUUGGUAUCCAACGAAUAAUAAUGAAUCUACAGUAACUAUGUCAUGCUAUGUUAAUUUAUUGUAAAUAUUGAUCCAAUUUUGGCCACUGUAUACCCCCUUUGGUUGACCCCAUUCUUAUAAGAUAACUACUUUCCCAUUUCUUAGUUCGUAUGUUAACAUGUACCA